This 427-nucleotide ribosomal RNA is filed under the name uncultured prokaryote. RNAcentral's name for it is "bacterial SSU rRNA". It matches the Rfam family "Bacterial small subunit ribosomal RNA", at positions 355 to 774 of the family's 1533-position model. The record is from RNAcentral.
UCGAGAAUUUUUCACAAUGGGCGAAAGCCUGAUGGAGCGACGCCGCGUGGGGGAUGAAUGGCUUCGGCCCGUAAACCCCUGUCAUUUGUGACCAAGCCUGCCUGGUGAAUAGCCAGUCAGUUUGAUGGUAGCGGAAGAGGAAGGGACGGCUAACUCUGUGCCAGCAGCCGCGGUAAUACAGAGGUCCCAAGCGUUGUUCGGAUUCACUGGGCGUAAAGGGUGCGGAGGUGGUGAGGUAAGUCUAAUGUGAAAUCCCGGGGCGCAACUCCGGAACUGCAUCGGAAACUAUCUCGCUAGAGGGUUGUAGGGGGGACUGGAAUUCUCGGUGUAGCAGUGAAAUGCGUAGAUAUCGAGAGGAACACCAGUGGCGAAGGCGAGUCCCUGGACAACACCUGACACUGAGGCACGAAAGCUAGGGGAGCAAACA